GUGGUAAGUUAUUAACAGUGUUCAUCGCCUCACUUGUAAACAUUAAGUCGACCAAAAUGUGUUAAUUAAAAUACAAACUUGGAGGAUUUAAUACUUCACUACGUCACUUUUACGGCUCCAAUUGGUUGUUACUGUAGUGUUAAGACAACUACCAUAUUGCUGCCUCGCUGAUCAUCAUUAAUGAAGUUCCUCGUGUCAUUCGUCGAGGACGGUGACGUGAAGAUGUAAGAUGUGGGCCACAAGACGAAGGUUUGUUUUGGUUAACGGGUCUCUUGCUGCACCACAUUGGAAACUUUCUGCUACAGGUUGUACCUCUCUAGUCCGGCAUUCUGUGGUCCGGAAACUCCCGGGGUCCGGAACGAUUUUAGUUUGUCCAAUAGGUAGA
Homarus americanus (American lobster) is the source of this 385-nucleotide long non-coding RNA. RefSeq lists it as uncharacterized. The transcript is spliced from 3 exons. Lineage: Eukaryota; Metazoa; Arthropoda; Malacostraca; Decapoda; Nephropidae. The record is from RefSeq and is a predicted model, not a curated record.